This 300-nucleotide unclassified non-coding RNA is filed under the name uncultured Simocybe. RNAcentral describes it as "sequence contains 5.8S rRNA gene, ITS2". The stretch from base 1 to 71 matches the Rfam family "5.8S ribosomal RNA", at positions 84 to 154 of the family's 154-position model. Lineage: Eukaryota; Fungi; Basidiomycota; Agaricomycetes; Agaricales; Crepidotaceae. The record is from RNAcentral.
GUGAGUCAUCGAAUCUUUGAACGCAUCUUGCGCUCCUUGGUAUUCCGAGGAGCAUGCCUGUUUGAGUAUCAUUAAUUUCUCAACCUUAUUAGCUUUUGCGAAAUAAGGCUUGGAUAUGGGGGUUUGCUGGCUUCUAACGAGGUCGGCUCCUCUGAAAUGUAUUAGCGGUGCCCUUGUGGACCCGACUAUCAGUGUGAUAAUUAUCUACGCUGUUAGACGACCACGUUUUGGGGGUUGUGCUGCUUCUAACCGUCCUCUCUGGACAAUAUAAUGACAAUUUUGAUCUCAAAUCAGGUAGGA